CAAACUGAAGAUGGCGACCGGCGCACGGGUGGGUAACACGUAUCCAACCUGCCGAUAACUCCGGAAUAGCCUUUCGAAAGAAAGAUUAAUACCGGAUAGUAUACGAAUAUCGCAUGAUAUUUUUAUUAAAGAAUUUCGGUUAUCGAUGGGGAUGCGUUCCAUUAGUUUGUUGGCGGGGUAACGGCCCACCAAGACUACGAUGGAUAGGGGUUCUGAGAGGAAGGUCCCCCACAUUGGAACUGAGACACGGUCCAA
This 255-nucleotide ribosomal RNA is filed under the name uncultured bacterium. RNAcentral's name for it is "partial 16S ribosomal RNA". It matches the Rfam family "Bacterial small subunit ribosomal RNA", at positions 77 to 334 of the family's 1533-position model. The record is from RNAcentral.